UACGGAGGAUCCGAGCGUUAUCCGGAUUUAUUGGGUUUAAAGGGUGCGUAGGCGGACCAAUUAGUCAGUGGUGAAAGUUUGCAGCUCAACUGUAAAAUUGCCAUUGAAACUGCGGGUCUUGAGUGUAAAUAAGGUAGGCGGAAUGUGUUGUGUAGCGGUGAAAUGCUUAGAUAUAACACAGAACACCAAUUGCGAAGGCAGCUUACUGGGAUACAACUGACGCUGAGGCACGAAAGCGUGGGGAUCAAACAGG
Molecule: ribosomal RNA, 253 nt
Filed under: uncultured bacterium
Lineage: Bacteria
Description: partial 16S ribosomal RNA
Rfam family: Bacterial small subunit ribosomal RNA
Source: RNAcentral